GACGAACGCUGGCGGCGUGCCUAAUACAUGCAAGUCGAACGCUGAAGAGAGGAGCUUGCUCUUCUUGGCUGAGUUGCGAACGGGUGAGUAACGCGUAGGUAACCUGCCUUGUAGCGGGGGAUAACUAUUGGAAACGAUAGCUAAUACCGCAUAACAAUGGAUGACACAUGUCAUUUAUUUGAAAGGGGCAAUUGCUCCACUACAAGAUGGACCUGCGUUGUAUUAGCUAGUAGGUGAGGUAAUGGCUCACCUAGGCGACGAUACAUAGCCGACCUGAGAGGGUGAUCGGCCACACUGGGACUGAGACACGGCCCAGACUCCUACGGGAGGCAGCAGUAGGGAAUCUUCGGCAAUGGGGGCAACCCUGACCGAGCAACGCCGCGUGAGUGAAGAAGGUUGUCGGAUCGUAAAGCUCGGUUGUAAGUAAAGAACGGGUGUGAGAGUGGAAAGUUCACACUGUGACGGUAGCUUACCAGAAAGGGACGGCUAACUACGUG
Molecule: ribosomal RNA, 497 nt
Filed under: uncultured bacterium
Lineage: Bacteria
Description: partial 16S ribosomal RNA
Rfam family: Bacterial small subunit ribosomal RNA
Source: RNAcentral